RNAcentral lists this long non-coding RNA (3023 nucleotides) under Vitis vinifera (wine grape). RNAcentral's name for it is "long non-coding RNA (VVIN_LNC002312)". The record is from RNAcentral. Lineage: Eukaryota; Viridiplantae; Streptophyta; Magnoliopsida; Vitales; Vitaceae.
AUAGUUUUAAAAGGCUCAAGGCGCACCAAGGCGCAAAGUAGUCCUGGAGCCUGAGGCGCAAGGCGCAUCUAAGGCGCGGGCUUUAGUGAAGUGAGGCGCACCCUAAUUUACAUAUAUAUUUUUAUAUAAUAUAAUCAAAUUUAACAAUCAUUUAUUUGUCCUAAACACAUAAAUCAUCAAAUAUCAUCCAAAACUUUAAUUUAAUAAACAAAAAACAUAAAAAUAAAGAACUCCAAGCAUAAAAACAAAUCCAAAUCCAUAUUGCUAAUUGCCUAAUACAUAUCCAAAUUCAAAGUUUCCAAACCUAAAGGUCCAAAACAUGAAAUUUGUCCACAAUUCAAAAACAUCAUUAAAAAACACUUAAAUCACAAAUUUGUCCACAACAAGCAAUCAUCACUUCUCCUCUAAAUCAACAAAAUCAUCAUCAUCAUCAUUUCCAUCACCACAUUUGUAGCCUUCCCCAUCUUCUUCAUCUGCUAAAUCAACUAUGUCUCCAUUUUCAUCUUCAUCUAUUAGUGAAUAAGAAGGCAAAGUUCUAGAACUUGAAGCUAUCCCCCUUGUUGGUGGUAUUAUGCUUGAGCUUGCUCUAGCUCUAGCUCUAGUAUCAAACUUGGCCUCCUUAGCUCCAGCAGCUCUAGCAACAUCACCCCAUGUCAAAUUGUCAUCAUCAAAUACAAAAUCAUCUUGUGCACCUCCAUGAGAAUCCUCAUCUUCCAUUCUCCCUAUCAACCAUUCAUUGCUAUCAUCUAUAUCUUUCAAGGAAAUUGGGUCAAUGGUGUUACGUUCAUUGUAUCUUCUCUUCAAGGCUCGAUUAUACUUGAUGUACACCAAAUCAUUCAAGCGUUGAUGAUCUAACCUAUUUCUUCUCUUGCUAUGAAUCUGCAAAAAUUCAUAAGCUCAUAAAUAUAUUUUAAAAUUUUAACUUUUAAGUUACAUUCAAGACUCUAUUAGACUAUUACUUGUAAUUAUUUUGGAUUUGGUCACUCACAUUUUCAAAGAUGCUCCAAUUCCGUUCACAACCUGAUGCACUGCAUGUUAAGUUGAGGACUUUCAUUGCAAACUUUUGCAAAUUUGGAGCUGAAGCUCCAUAUGCAGCCCACCAUUCAGCUGUAGUAUAGAUAUUAACAAUUUAGUGAAACAAUUCACCCAUUUUAGCAAAAAUACAAUCUAAUAAUUUAAAUAAACAAAACUAAAUAACUAACCUGGUGCUCUAGUCUUUCUUGUCCUAACAGCUAACUCAUUCCCGAAUAGUCCUUGGGCAUUUGUGAACAAACUCACUUCGGCCACAACUUUUUCUUGCUUAGCAGGGUCUCUUGUUAGCCUUAAGAUGCAUUUAUACAAAUCACUCAUAAUCUCGGCAUCAUGCUCUAUUUCUGGCUUAUCAUAGAAGAAUUCCGGGUUCAAAAAGUACCCUGCUGCAUGUAAAGGCCGAUGAAGCUGAAUCUCCCACCUCUUAUCAAUGAUGUUGAAGAUUUCUUUGUACUUCUCUUCAUUUCCAUUAAAACUUCUCACAAUUGCAUCCUUAGCUCUAUUCAUGGCCUCAUAGAUGUAUCCCAUAGGAGCUUUUUUUUCACCAUCAACCAAACGAAGCACACGAACUAGGGGACCCGAAACCUUUAAGCAAAACACAAUAGUGUUCCAAAAUGAAGGCAUUAGAACUAUGUUGGCUAUAGUUUUCCCCUUCUGCUCUUUUGCCCAUUUACUAUCUGACCAAUCUGAGCUUGUAAACAUCUUCCUCAAAUUGUUUUUUUGUUCAUGCAAUCGCGAUAAUGUGAUGAAAGCAUUUGCAAACCGAGUCUUAGCAGGCCUAAGCAAUUCCCUUUGUCCAGUAAACCGCCUCAUCAUGUUGAGUAGCCNNNNNNNNNNNNNNNNNNNNNNNNNNNNNNNNNNNNNNNNNNNNNNNNNNNNNNNNNNNNNNNNNNNNNNNNNNNNNNNNNNNNNNNNNNNNNNNNNNNNUUAAGGUUAGUAACUCUUACCUCAUGAAAAGUUGGUCCCUUCAUACCCACACCAUAUUGGCCAAUAGCCUCAAUCAUUGGUUGGAAACUCGGAUAUGUGACUGCAUUAAAUGGAAUAGCAGCCUCAUACAUCCAUCUUGUGAUAAGCGUGCAAACUCUUUCUCUUGCUUCCUUUUUGUAGGCAUCAUUGAUGGUAGUUUGAUUCAUCUUUCCACUCCUUUGAUUUUGAACAACCAUCUCUGCAUUAGGAGUGAAAAAAUGAUCCAUAGGACCUUUUUGUCUUGGUUUUUUUGAAGAAAACGUCCUACCACCACUUCCUCCUCGGUUACUACCUCCACUAGAAAUGUUGGUGAUAUUCGUUCUACUAUUAAUCUCCUCACCAAUAUCUUCAUCUUCCAAACCAAACAAAUCUUCAUUAACAUAUUUGCUCCCCAUAUUCAUUUGCUCUUUUUGAUUUUUCUUGGAACUCAUAUACUCUUCCAUUUCUUCUCUAACAUGUUCCGGACAUUUUCUACACUUUUUAGCAUUUCUAUAUCCACCAACAAGAUGUUGUUUGUGUCUAUAGAUGCCUCCUUUGGUUACUUUAUCACAAAAAAUGUAUAUGAUGGUGUUCAAAUCUUUUUCAUUAACCAAACGACCAUAUUUCCACCCCGGAUCUCUUCUUCUACUUGCACUAGAGUCCACUUGAGUCUCACUCUCAUUAUCCAUCUUGCAAACAAAUUAUCUAUACUCCACAAUAAAAUAAUUAUAAUUAAAUUAAGAAAAAAAAUUGAAAAAAAAAAUGCAUAUCACAUUAUCAAAUAUCACAUUAACAACAAAUAUGCAUGAGUGCUUUUUAUUUAUUUAUUUUUAUUUUGUAAAAUUUUCAUGUCAAAAACUCAAAAUAUAAUAUUUAUAUUUUAAAAAAAAAAUUACCAAUGAGAGUUAUGAGGUAAGAAUGGAAAAAAAUGCAGAAAAGUGAAGAAAAAAGAAAAAUACCGAGGUCCGGAAGGUACGUGACUAUUUCCCCUUUAUUUUUCUCCUAUUUUCCCCUUAUUUUUCUUCUUCUUUUUCUUCUUCUUCUUCACU